GACAGAGGAUGCAAGCGUUAUCCGGAAUGAUUGGGCGUAAAGCGUCUGUAGGUGGCUUUUUAAGUCUGCCGUCAAAUCCCAGGGCUUAACCCUGGACGGGCGGUGGAAACUACCAAGCUGGAGUACGGUAGGGGCAGGGGGAAUUUCCGGUGGAGCGGUGAAAUGCGUAGAGAUCGGAAAGAACACCAACGGCGAAAGCACUCUGCUGGGCCGACACUGACACUGAGAGACGAAAGCUAGGGGAGCGAAUGGG
Molecule: ribosomal RNA, 253 nt
Filed under: uncultured bacterium
Lineage: Bacteria
Description: partial 16S ribosomal RNA
Rfam family: Bacterial small subunit ribosomal RNA
Source: RNAcentral